UGCAAGUCGAGCGGUAGCACGGGAGAGCUUGCUCUCUGGGUGACGAGCGGCGGACGGGUGAGUAAUGUCUGGGAAACUGCCUGAUGGAGGGGGAUAACUACUGGAAACGGUAGCUAAUACCGCAUGACCUCGCAAGAGCAAAGUGGGGGACCUUCGGGCCUCACGCCAUCGGAUGUGCCCAGAUGGGAUUAGCUAGUAGGUGGGGUAAUGGCUCACCUAGGCGACGAUCCCUAGCUGGUCUGAGAGGAUGACCAGCCACACUGGAACUGAGACACGGUCCAGACUCCUACGGGAGGCAGCAGUGGGGAAUAUUGCACAAUGGGCGCAAGCCUGAUGCAGCCAUGCCGCGUGUAUGAAGAAGGCCUUCGGGUUGUAAAGUACUUUCAGCGGGGAGGAAGGCGUUGUGGUUAAUAACCACAGCGAUUGACGUUACCCGCAGAAGAAGCACCGGCUAACUCC
RNAcentral lists this ribosomal RNA (459 nucleotides) under uncultured bacterium. RNAcentral describes it as "bacterial SSU rRNA". It matches the Rfam family "Bacterial small subunit ribosomal RNA", at positions 56 to 504 of the family's 1533-position model. The record is from RNAcentral.